GGUUGAUCCUGCCAGUAGUCAUAUGCUUGUCUCAAAGAUUAAGCCAUGCAUGUCUCAGCAUAAGCUUCAAUACGGUGAAACUGCAAAUGGCUCAUUAAAGCAGUUACAAUUUAUUUGAUGGUCGCUGUUACAUGGAUAACUGUGGUAAUUCUAGAGCUAAUACAUGCAUCAAAACCUGACUCUUGGGAAGGGUUGUGUUUAUUAGAUACAAAACCAAUUCAGGCUCGCCCUGAUUGUUUGGUGACUCAUGAUAACUGUAUGAAUUGAAUAGCUUCGGCUGUCAAUGCAUCAUU
RNAcentral lists this ribosomal RNA (293 nucleotides) under uncultured eukaryote. RNAcentral's name for it is "partial 18S ribosomal RNA". It matches the Rfam family "Eukaryotic small subunit ribosomal RNA", at positions 6 to 299 of the family's 1831-position model. The record is from RNAcentral.